This 1011-nucleotide ribosomal RNA is filed under the name Pochonia sinensis. RNAcentral describes it as "SSU rRNA". It matches the Rfam family "Eukaryotic small subunit ribosomal RNA", at positions 94 to 1116 of the family's 1831-position model. Lineage: Eukaryota; Fungi; Ascomycota; Sordariomycetes; Hypocreales; Clavicipitaceae. The record is from RNAcentral.
UGGCUCAUUAUAUAAGUUAUCGUUUAUUUGAUAGUACCUUACUACUUGGAUAACCGUGGUAAUUCUAGAGCUAAUACAUGCUAAAAAUCCCGACUUCGGAAGGGAUGUAUUUAUUAGAUUAAAAACCAAUGCCCUCUGGGCUCCUUGGUGAUUCAUGAUAACUUCUCGAAUCGCAUGGCCUUGCGCCGGCGAUGGUUCAUUCAAAUUUCUUCCCUAUCAACUUUCGAUGUUUGGGUAGUGGCCAAACAUGGUUGCAACGGGUAACGGAGGGUUAGGGCUCGACCCCGGAGAAGGAGCCUGAGAAACGGCUACUACAUCCAAGGAAGGCAGCAGGCGCGCAAAUUACCCAAUCCCGAUUCGGGGAGGUAGUGACAAUAAAUACUGAUACAGGGCUCUUUUGGGUCUUGUAAUUGGAAUGAGUACAAUUUAAAUCCCUUAACGAGGAACAAUUGGAGGGCAAGUCUGGUGCCAGCAGCCGCGGUAAUUCCAGCUCCAAUAGCGUAUAUUAAAGUUGUUGUGGUUAAAAAGCUCGUAGUUGAACCUUGGGCCUGGCUGGCCGGUCCGCCUCACCGCGUGUACUGGUCCGGCCGGGCCUUUCCCUCUGUGGAACCCCAUGCCCUUCACUGGGUGUGGCGGGGAAACAGGACUUUUACUUUGAAAAAAUUAGAGUGCUCCAGGCAGGCCUAUGCUCGAAUACAUUAGCAUGGAAUAAUAAAAUAGGACGUGCGGUUCUAUUUUGUUGGUUUCUAGGACCGCCGUAAUGAUUAAUAGGGACAGUCGGGGGCAUCAGUAUUCAAUUGUCAGAGGUGAAAUUCUUGGAUUUAUUGAAGACUAACUACUGCGAAAGCAUUUGCCAAGGAUGUUUUCAUUAAUCAGGAACGAAAGUUAGGGGAUCGAAGACGAUCAGAUACCGUCGUAGUCUUAACCAUAAACUAUGCCGACUAGGGAUCGGACGAUGUUAUUUUUUGACUCGUUCGGCACCUUACGAGAAAUCAAAGUGCUUGGGCUCCA